AAGAUUAACUUUAUAGACUUCUAAUCUAUUAUUAAUGAUAUUUUCAUUUAAUCUUU
This 56-nucleotide transfer RNA is filed under the name Ixodes angustus. Its description in RNAcentral is "tRNA-Ser". Lineage: Eukaryota; Metazoa; Arthropoda; Arachnida; Ixodida; Ixodidae. The record is from RNAcentral.